GUAGAUAUAGUUUAACCAAAACGCUAGAUUGUGAUUCUAGUAAUAGGGGUUAGAACCCCCUUAUCCACC
RNAcentral lists this transfer RNA (69 nucleotides) under Eurypegasus draconis (short dragonfish). RNAcentral describes it as "tRNA-His". It matches the Rfam family "tRNA". From Rfam's summary of the family: Transfer RNA (tRNA) molecules are approximately 80 nucleotides in length. Their secondary structure includes four short double-helical elements and three loops (D, anti-codon, and T loops). Lineage: Eukaryota; Metazoa; Chordata; Actinopteri; Syngnathiformes; Pegasidae. The record is from RNAcentral.